UAGAUGGAGAGUAGAGCAUAUCAAUAAGCGGAGGAAAAGAAACUAACUAGGAUUCCCUUAGUAACGGCGAGUGAAGCGGGAAGAGCUCAAAUUUGAAAUCUUCAAGGUUCUACCUUGACGAAUUGUAGCUUUAAAGAAGUGUUUUCUGUUGGAGUUUUGGUAAAAGUUCUUUGGAAUAGGACAUCAUAGAGGGUGAGAAUCCCGUAUUUGACCAUUAUUUCCAACUUUGUGAUACACUUUCAAAGAGUCGGAUUGUUUGGGAAUGCAGUCCAAAAUGAGUGGUAAAUUUCAUCUAAAGCUAAAUACUGGCGAGAGACCGAUAGCGAACAAGUACCGUGAGGGAAAGAUGAAAAGAACUUUGAAAAGAGAGUUAAACAGUACGUGAAAUUGUCAAAAGGGAAGCGUUUGACACCAGUGUUGUUUUCUCGAAAAUCAAUUAAAAAUGGUGGGAUGUUGUGUUGUAUUGACUUUAUCAGCUUUCUGCACUUUUUUUCCUAUCUUUUUUAAUGCACUUUUCGUUUAACAAGUCAACAUCAAUUUCUUUUGUUGUAAAAGAGUCAUUGGAAGGUGGCUUUCUUUUCGGAGAAAGUGUUUAUAGCCUUUGGCUUCUGCAAUCGGAGAGAUUGAGGUCUGCAGCGUAGAUCCUUCGGGGUUAGAUGCAUUUGUGCUAAGUUAUAGCCUUUCAUAGACAACUUGUUGACUAUGAUCAGUCAUGUAGCUUACUCGCUUAUGCUAUUUUACCUACGCUUAGGAUGUUGAUAGUCACAGCGUGUAC
RNAcentral lists this ribosomal RNA (775 nucleotides) under uncultured Neocallimastigales. Its description in RNAcentral is "partial large subunit ribosomal RNA". It matches the Rfam family "Eukaryotic large subunit ribosomal RNA", at positions 25 to 634 of the family's 3401-position model. Lineage: Eukaryota; Fungi; Neocallimastigomycota; Neocallimastigomycetes; Neocallimastigales. The record is from RNAcentral.